Molecule: transfer RNA, 76 nt
Filed under: Chloroflexota bacterium
Lineage: Bacteria; Bacillati; Chloroflexota
Also listed under: 4 other names
Description: Chloroflexi bacterium tRNA-Phe
Rfam family: tRNA
About the family: Transfer RNA (tRNA) molecules are approximately 80 nucleotides in length.
Source: RNAcentral
GCCGAGGUAGCUCAGUCGGUAGAGCACGCGACUGAAAAUCGCGGUGUCGCCAGUUCGAUCCUGGCCCUCGGCACCA